AUAUGUUAGAUCAUUUUGUGCGGCUGGAGCUGGACUAUUAUGUCAUGACUUUUGGUGUUUAUGACUUUUAUAGUUUUUGAAAUAUUUAGAUUUUAGUGCAAAUUUAGGCCAAUUCAUCUUUUGGCGCCAAAUAAACAGACUUCAUUUGUGGUGUGUGGGCGCCAUCUUUUGGUCCCAUUGAAACAAAUUUCAAACUUCAUUUGUGGUGUGUUGGCUCUCUCUAGUGGUAUGCCGGGAGUGGUACAGCCUGUCUACCCUUAUUUGGAUACCGUAAUGAUGACAAUAUCAAUGGCGCGCACAGCCUCGCUGCUUUCAGGAACCAUUGGAGGUUUUAAGGUUGCGCGAACCAUUGAAUACUUACGGUAAACACAAUGGCUUCUAUGCUUGGUGGAAAACUCCAUAUCCCACAAUUCAUAGCACACCUCUGCCGAGUUAAACAAUGGCGGCCACCACUUCGUUUUAUAUGUCUUUUAUUAGUGUUUCUAGGUCACAAAAUAAACUUUUAAGAUAUUUUCAGGCGAGAAUGUAGGUGUGUAAACUUCAAAUAUCUGCUUGUUUUAUCAUAUUAGCGACAGUGCUCUGACGACCUCGGUCCUGCCUGACAGCUAGCCGGCUACCUAGCUAGCUGCCGCACUUGGCUGCAAAUGCACAGCGAGGGGACUCUCUCUCUCUCCUUUCACCUCUCGCAAAUGCUCGCACAGAAUCGGAGUUACAGCUGGAUGUGGAAAAAAUAACUGAGUUGUUUGGUGGUGCUAUAAUGCGGAGCUACAACAGUGGGCAGCUAUCCACCGUGUAUGAC
This is a long non-coding RNA of Oreochromis aureus, 799 nucleotides long. NCBI's taxonomy places the organism in Eukaryota, Metazoa, Chordata, Actinopteri, Cichliformes, Cichlidae. The record is from Ensembl.